Molecule: unclassified non-coding RNA, 331 nt
Filed under: Hevea brasiliensis (rubber tree)
Lineage: Eukaryota; Viridiplantae; Streptophyta; Magnoliopsida; Malpighiales; Euphorbiaceae
Source: RNAcentral
UGGUGAGAACUGCGGUGAGGAAUGUGUACGGAUUGGGAACGCCGGAAUUGUACCGAGACGCCGAGAAAGAGGAUCCAAAGGCGGUGCUUGACGGAGUUGCAGUCGCUGGACUCGUCGGGAUCUUGCGUCAGCUCGGCGAUCUCGCUGAAUUUGCAGCGGAAGUGUUUCAUGGCUUACAAGAGCAAGUGAUGGUUACAUCCUCGAGAAGCAAUAAGUUGGUUGUUCGGGUGCAAAAAAUUGAAGCUGCACUUCCUCCACUUGAGAAAUCAGUAUUGGCGCAACAGAGUCAUUUACACUUUGCUUAUACAGCUGGAUCCAAUUGGCAUGCCCG